Long non-coding RNA from Fundulus heteroclitus (mummichog), 345 nucleotides. RefSeq lists it as uncharacterized. Lineage: Eukaryota; Metazoa; Chordata; Actinopteri; Cyprinodontiformes; Fundulidae. The record is from RefSeq and is a predicted model, not a curated record. The transcript has 3 exons.
AUUCUGUAAAUGUCUGUGGUAUCUUAAUGAGGUUCAAUUUGAUUAUAAUCUCUUUUUUCUCUUUUCUGCCAGGUAUUUUAUUCUCCCUUGAAGGAACUGACGGGUGAUAAUACUGAUCAUGGCAUGGCACCUGGAAUGAAUGAAAUCAUGUCAGCCCUUCAUGACCUGCCAGAAAUUAUUCAAUUAAUGAGGGAGUGUGUCCGGGCAUUGAUGUCCUCGUUCGGGGGGACCCCUUCAUCUCCAAUGUCAUCUUCUCCUGUGGACAGUGCAAUUGAAAAGCACCACUUGGCAGGCAGCACAGUGACAGUUUCAAAGAGGGCCUUCGUGCGGCUGAAUAGAUCUUGC